UCGCCUGUUUUAUCAAAAACAUGUCUGUAUGAUUGUUAUAUAGAGUCUGGCCUGCCCGCUGAUUUAAAUUGAAGGGCCGCGGUAUUUUGACCGUGCGAAGGUAGCAUAAUCAUUAGUCUUUUAAUUGGAGGCUUGUAUGAAUGGUUGGACAAAAAGCAAACUGUCUCAAUUAUAUAAAUUGAAUUUAACUUUUAAGUGAAAAGGCUUAAAUGUACUAGGGGGACGAUAAGACCCUAUAAAGCUUUACAAUUAUUUAAUUAAAUUAUAAAUUGUUAGUAUAACUUAAUUUAGUUAAUAUUUGUUUCGUUGGGGCGACGAGAAUAUAAUUUUAAGUAACUGUUCUUUUAUAGUUAAUUACAAAUUUAUUUGGGUAAAGAUUGAUCCUUUAUUAUAGAUUAAAAGAUUAAGUUACUUUAGGGAUAACAGCGUAAUCUUCUUUGAGAGUUCAUAUCGACAAGAAGGGUUGCGACCUCGAUGUUGAAUUAAAGUAUCCUUGUGGUGUAGCAGUUACAGGGGAGGGUCUGUUCGACCUUUAAUUCUUUACGUGAUCUGAGUUCAGACCGGA
RNAcentral lists this ribosomal RNA (565 nucleotides) under Parapenaeus fissuroides. RNAcentral's name for it is "partial 16S ribosomal RNA". It matches the Rfam family "Bacterial large subunit ribosomal RNA", at positions 1796 to 2620 of the family's 2925-position model. The record is from RNAcentral. Lineage: Eukaryota; Metazoa; Arthropoda; Malacostraca; Decapoda; Penaeidae.